AUGGUCACCGAAUCGUGCGGGUGAGAUCCGCGUUCAGGUUCGAGCAUCGCGUAGCGAUACGACAACGCGCAGCGUUGCCCGUAGGGUGAGGCCACAGGCCGAAUCAAUCCUGCACGACCCACCA
This 124-nucleotide small RNA is filed under the name Serratia marcescens. RNAcentral's name for it is "RtT sRNA". It matches the Rfam family "RtT RNA". Rfam says of the family: This family represents a bacterial cis-regulatory element known as RtT RNA. The exact function of RtT is unknown although it is thought that it may be involved in changing the cellular response in relation to amino acid starvation. RNAcentral also lists the same sequence under 2 other names. Lineage: Bacteria; Pseudomonadati; Pseudomonadota; Gammaproteobacteria; Enterobacterales; Yersiniaceae. The record is from RNAcentral.